UUGAACCUCCUGCACCCCAUGGUUUAUUUUUUAAAAACCUACAUCUGUAAAUAUGUAGUUACAAUUGCUUUCCAGCAUCUGACAUAGCAGAGUAGUCAGGUUUCUUAUUACCAGUUUUUCAGCAGUCUGGGUAAUUGCGUAUGAAAAUGUGCACAUAAUGAUUAAAAUAAAAUCAGGGUC
Long non-coding RNA from Pipistrellus kuhlii (Kuhl's pipistrelle), 180 nucleotides. RefSeq lists it as uncharacterized. The record is from RefSeq and is a predicted model, not a curated record. Lineage: Eukaryota; Metazoa; Chordata; Mammalia; Chiroptera; Vespertilionidae. The transcript is spliced from 3 exons.